This 721-nucleotide ribosomal RNA is filed under the name uncultured bacterium. Its description in RNAcentral is "bacterial SSU rRNA". It matches the Rfam family "Bacterial small subunit ribosomal RNA", at positions 8 to 715 of the family's 1533-position model. The record is from RNAcentral.
AGAGUUUGAUCCUGGCUCAGGAUGAACGCUAGCGGCAGGCUUAACACAUGCAAGUCGAGGGGCAGCACGGGUAGCAAUACCUGGUGGCGACCGGCGGAAGGGUGCGUAACGCGUGAGCAACAUGCCCUAUACAGGGGAAUAAACCAGGGAAACUUGGUCUAAUGCCCCAUAGCAAUAAGAUAAGGCAUCUUAUUUUAUUUAAAGCUUCGGUGGUAUAGGAUUGGCUCGCGUGACAUUAGCUAGUUGGUGAGGUAACGGCCCACCAAGGCAACGAUGCGUAGCCGACCUGAGAGGGUGAUCGGCCACACUGGGACUGAGACACGGCCCAGACUCCUACGGGAGGCAGCAGUAGGGAAUCUUCCGCAAUGGACGAAAGUCUGACGGAGCAACGCCGCGUGAGUGAAGAAGGUUUUCGGAUCGUAAAACUCUGUUGUCAGGGAAGAACAAGUAUCGGAGUAACUGCCGGUACCUUGACGGUACCUGACCAGAAAGCCACGGCUAACUACGUGCCAGCAGCCGCGGUAAUACGUAGGUGGCAAGCGUUGUCCGGAAUUAUUGGGCGUAAAGCGCGCGCAGGCGGUCUUUUAAGUCUGAUGUGAAAUCACGCGGCUCAACCGCGUGCGGUCAUUGGAAACUGGGAGACUUUGAGUGCAGAAGAGAAGAGCGGAAUUCCACGUGUAGCGGUGAAAUGCGUAAGAAGAUUGUGGAGGAACACCAGUGG